RNAcentral lists this long non-coding RNA (5161 nucleotides) under Homo sapiens (human). RNAcentral describes it as "HSALNT0301887". The record is from RNAcentral. Lineage: Eukaryota; Metazoa; Chordata; Mammalia; Primates; Hominidae.
AAAAUGCAAUCACGAAUGACCUCAUAAGACACAGGAAGAUUUCACGCCACACCCACACACGCACACACGUGUGCACACACACACACGAAAAGGCAAGGUGAAAAUAGCAAAGAUAGAGAAGACAGACAUUUGAAACAUGCUUGCCUUGAAGAUUCUAGGGACAAAGGCACAAGCCAAGAAAUGCCAGCAGCUACCAAAAGCUGGAAAAGGCAAUGAGCAGCUUCUCUCCCAGAGCCUCUGGAGGAAGCCCAUCCUUGCCAACACCUGGAUUUCAGCCCAGUGAUUUAGACUUCUGGCCUCUAGGACUAGGCAAGAAUACAUUUAGAUUGCUUUACAUUACCAAGUUUGUGGUGAUUUGUUACAGUAGCCACAGGAAACUAAUCCAGGUAUGAACUGGCUUUUCAACCUAGCAAGACUCAUCAGUAAAUGUCUGACCAGCAAGAGUGAGAUAUGCUGUUCUAACUAAUAGGUAUUAAUUGAAUGAUGCAGUUUCAAAGAUAUAGACAAUGGUGCUGAUAAACCAGUUUGUUGGAGGGAAGGAGGCUUUAUUUUUAGCAGACACCAAUUUCUGUGAUGCAAAUACUCCCUCCAUGGCCCAUUUCAAAGGUUUAACAUCUGGCUUGCAAAAUUCCUUACCAUUUAACAAUCAGCUUGCACAAGCCAGCAGCAGCCAUCUCCAGCCCCUCCUUGUAGAGGUGCUUUAAAUCACGAGAGAAAUUGCUCUAAGACUGUAUUGAGCAUAAUUUAAUUUCUCCUUGAUAAUUCUGAAGGGCACUUCAUGGUAUUGUAGUUCCUGAGCGUCAACAUGGGGAACAUUAAUUACUGUUGCACUGCACACAUGCGGAGUUGCUAAUCAAUGGCAUGGGGGCAGAUAGUUUCUAAGGCUGAUGGGAUGAGAAGAACCAGGCAGAACCAGAAUGUCCUAUAGAUUGUCAGUUGCAUGCUUUUAUUCCUUGCAGAACUCUGGAAGGAAUCCAGUAGAGGCCAUCACGCCCUUAGGUAAAUUUAUUAUGGUAUAAAUUGUAAUCGCAGUGACAGAAAUCUUAAUCAUUUUUUUCCAAUGGCAUAAGGCUUUACAACUUUUUUUAAAAUAUUUUUUUAUUAUACUUUAAGUUUUAGGGUACAUGUGCACAACGUGCAGGUUUGUUACAUAUGCAUACAUGUGCCAUGUUGGUGUGCUGCCCCCAUUAACUCGUCAUUUACAUUAGGUAUAUCUCCUAAUGCUAUCCCUCCCCCCUCCCCCCACCCCACAACAGGCCCCGGUGUGUGAUGUUUCCCUUCCUGUGCCCAAGUGUUCUCAUUGUUCAAUUCCCACCUAUGAGUGAGAACACACGGUGUUUGGUUGUUUGUCCUUGCGAUAGUUUGCUGAGAAUGAUGGUUUCCAACUUCAUCCGUGUCCCUAUAAACGACAUUAACUCAUCCUUUUUUAUGGCUGCAUAGUAUUCCAUGGUGUAUAUGUGCCACAUUUUCUUAAUCCAGUCUAUCAUUGAUGGACAUUUGGGUUGGUUCCAAGUCUUUGCUAUUGUGAGUAGUGCUGCAAUAAACAUGAGUGUGCAUGUGUCUUUAUAGCAGCAUGAUUUAUAGUCAUUUGGGUAUAUACCCAGUAAUGGGAUGGCUGGGUCAAAUGGAAUUUCUAGUUCUAGAUCCCUGAGGAAUCGCCACACUGUCUUCCACAAUGGUCGAACUAGUUUACAGUCCCACCAACAGUGUAAAAGUGUUCCUAUUUCUCCACAUCCUCUCCAGCACCUAUUGUUUCCUGACUUAUUAAUGAUCGCCAUUCUAACUGGUGUGAGAUGGUAUCUCAUUGUGGUUUUGAUUUGCAUUUCUCUGAUGGCCAGUGAUGAUGAGCAUUUUUUCAUGUGUCUGUUGGCUCCAUAAAUGCCUUCUUCUGAGACGUGUCUGUUCAUAUCCUUCGGCCACUUGUUGAUGGGGUUGUUUGUUUCUUGUAAAUUUGUUUGAGUUCUUUGGGCUUUACAACUUUCAAAGUGAAUUGGAUUUUUACCGUAAGCAAAAUAGAACAGAGGGUUUAUCUCAACCAGAAACAAAUGGAGUGUGUAAAAUUCAGUCUCUCUCUUCAGCCCCAUGCUACUGACUUCUGAAUAGCAUUCCAGCUGUAUUUAUCUGGGGCUUGGGAAAUUUUCUUGGUUCCUGGGAAGAAAGUUAACUAAAACAUAUGACAUCUCUGGCAGCAGUCACAAUUUCACACAAAAAGUUUCUUGCAAUAACUUCACAUAUUGCUUCCCCUGGUGGAAUCACUAUCUCUAGGGAAAGCUUGGGUCUAAAAUGACAACUAUAUUGAAUGAAAGUGAGAGCUGAAUGCUAGAUCCACCAGCUUGUAUCUCUCUAGGAGAAAUCUUCAUCUUAAAAUCACUUUUUAUGGAUGAUGUUAUGACAGAGACAAGUCCUAGAUUUUUUUCUUUUCCUGCUUUUAAAACAUAAAAAUUGUAAAACUUCUCAAGUAGCCAGACGUGGUGACGCAUCUGUAGUCCCAGUUACUCAAGAGGCUGAGGCAGGAGGUUUGAGCUCAGAGGUUCAAAUCCAGCUUGGGCAACAUAGUGAGACCCCCCCAACACACACCAAUCUCAAAACAAACAAAAAGCCUUCUCAAGUAAAAAAAUAAGCAAAUACUGUUACUACUCCAGCUACUCAACAGUGCUCCCUGUAGAUGAAAUACUACAGAGUGUUUGCUAUUUACAGGAAAUUGGAGGUGGGGUGGUUACUGGAAAGUGGGUUGGCAGAGAUUGGUGGUUAUGUGAUUUAAUCCUGAAAUAGACUGGUUAUGAGAAUCAAUGUCUUCAAAUUUCAAAUACUGUCUUGCUUUUGCUUUUGUAUAUAUAUACACACAUAUAUACAUAUAAAUAUAUAUACACACACACACACAAAAGCAAAAGCAAAACAGUUAUUAGCUAUCCUUCCUAGAGAUAGCUAGCAAGGACAGCUAAUCAACUCUUUCAACAUUUCAAGAUUAAAGGAUGAGGAUACCACCUGGGUUUUAAUACGGAGAUGGCUCAAGCCCUUUCCACUGCCAUGUAAAAGAUUUUUAGAUCACAUGUGUUGAUCAUUACAGUGAUGAGAUGGUAUUAAAAUGCUUGACAAAUUGGUCUCCAUGGCAGUGCUUGUAGUCCCAGCUACUCAGAGAGGCUGAGGCAGGAGGAUAAAGUGAGCCCAGGAGUUCGAGUCCAGCCUGGGCAGCAAAGCGAGCUCCUGUCUCUAAAACAAAAUACAGACUUGACAAACACCUACUGAAGGCAAUAUGAUCAUUACUUACAGAAAGGACAGGAUCAGAGCUAGGAGAGUGAAGGACUAGAUUUAUGAAGCUUCAGUCCCUUCUUUACGGGCACUGAAGAGAAACAGUUCAAGUCCUCCAGUUGUCCCAUAGGCUUUGUCAUAUAAGAAUGGAUAAUUUGCUACAAGCUCGAAAUGGCAAAACCAAUUACCUAAUGUUGCUACUGUACUGACUAAUCAUCUUACUCAUGAAACUAUCUACACCUUGCAGAGAACUUUAAGAAAACCACUGGGCAUGGUGGGUCGUGCCUAUAAUCUCAGAAUUUUGGAAGACCAAGGUGGGGGCAUCCCUUGAAGCCAGGAGUUUGAGACCAGCCUAGGCAACACAGCAAGAUACUGUCUCUACAUAAAACAAAAAAUAAGAAAAGUUAGCCAGGCAUGGUGGCUAUGCCUGUAGUCCUAGCUACUUGGGAGGCUGAGGCAGGAGGAUCCUUGCAGUGAGCACUCCAGCCUGGGUGAUGGAGCGAGACCCUGUCUCAAGAAAGAAAGAAAGAAGGGAAGAAAGGAAGAAAGGAAGGAAGGAAGGAAGAAAGGAAGAAAGGAAGGAAGGAAGAAGGAAGGAAGGAAGAAAAAGAAAGAAAGAAAGAAAGAAAGAAAGAAAGAAAGAAAGAAAGAAAGAAAGAAAGAAAAACCUUGCAGUAUACAUUUUCAUAAGCCCAAAAGUUACUUCCUUCCAUUUAUUGCAAGGCUAUAAGAACCCAAAUGUCUGCCUGUUAUGAUUUUAACCAGCACUUUUCUACAAGUGAGUAUGUUCAAGAACCCCUAAAAAGACUGUAAUAAUCAGAUAUCAAGCACCUAUAUGAGGUAGCAGGAGGAAGAAAGAGGCAGUACAAACAACAAUCCACACAUAAUCCAGUAAUGCAAGCUCUGAAAUUCCAACACUUCAUUUCAACUGCUUCCCCCAAAAUUCCAUACCAUGUUCUUGCUUUUGGAUAAAGUCAGUGACAAGAAACGAGAUGGUCAUACAGCAGCAGCAAAAAUAUAAUCAGGAAAUAUAAUGACUUUGUAAUAUCCCUGUGCGAAAGAAAUAAACCUGAGUAGUGAGAGGAACAUGGGUCUUGGAUUAGGAUAUAGAACAAUGUUUAAACCCUGGUUGGCCAGGUAUAAGCUAUGUAAUAACCUUGGGCAAUUCACCUAAUUCCUCUGAGUCUUAAUUUCCUCAUUUCUUAUAUGUGGUAAUUGUGCCUAAUUGAGAAGAUGCACAAUAGAAAUUCAAUAGUAGCUCUAAUUACCAUGCAACAACCUUCCUGGUCCACUGUGUGGGUUUCUUUCAGGCUGUGAGUAAGUGGACAUGGAUUUCUGUAGCUAGUCUCUGCCAGAGGAUAUGAGUAUUUCAAGAAGCAGGAAGGGCUGGAGGUGUGUGAAGGCUCCCCCGCUCCUGCACUUCAUUUGUACACUCUCAUCAUCACUGGAGGAGUCUCCUGGCUGCAGUUGAGCCUUCGAUGAGAUGAUUUGCAUCACUCACAUUCCAAGCUGGGUGGGGGAAGCCCAGACAUUCUCGCUCUGCCCCUCAACCAGCUUGGUGCCAGAUUUCCUCUCGCUUCACCCCCCCAGGAGGUCAUCUAGGGAGCAGGCAUCACACAGUAGCAACAGGCCUUGCGGAUGAUGACAUCAUAGGCUAUUUUGCCCACUCUGUUUAUCUCGCACUGAGAGGCAGGAGAGCACAGUAAGGAGCACAGGUUUUUUGGUUUGGUUUUGUGGGUUUUGUGGGGGUUUUUUCUUUUUUUUUUUUUUUUUUUUUUUUUGAGAUGGAAUUUCACUCUUGUUGCCCAGGCUAGAGUGCAAUAGCACAAUCUUGGCUCCCAACAACCUCCGCCUCUUGUGUUCAAGCAAUUCUCCUGCCUCAGCCCCCUGAGUAGCUGGGAUUACAGGCGCC